Entelurus aequoreus (snake pipefish) is the source of this 640-nucleotide long non-coding RNA. RefSeq lists it as uncharacterized. Lineage: Eukaryota; Metazoa; Chordata; Actinopteri; Syngnathiformes; Syngnathidae. The record is from RefSeq and is a predicted model, not a curated record. The transcript has 6 exons.
AAAAGUGGAAAAGAGUGUUAUUCGUCAAAAAACCCACACAACGACGGUCAUUUUUUCGCCGUGCUAUUGUAAAAUUGUCUUUUAUCUGUGUUUUGUGAAGCCGUGGAGCUCGAGAUCCUGUUUACUGUGGACUAGCUGUGUGUGACGCCAUGUUGUUUUUGUUUCCAUUACAAAAAAAAAGCUCCACCGUCUCGCCGAGUGCCAGCAAGAGUCAUGAGUACUUGUCAACUCGACUCCUCAACUGGAGAUAACUUUCUAGCACCUCACCAUGGGGAAGGAUGUAUUCAUAUGCCUUCACCAGCACCUGCAUUAAACAUGCAGAGAGUUACACAAGUUCUUACCACCUUGGGGCACCAUUCAGGGUGCCUUUUCAUCUGAUUAAAUUUAUAAUGAACAGGGACAUUGCGGUUGUCCCAAGUGGAUGGUAUGAUGAUAGGAUGGUUUUCUGGCCCAGCUAUAAAAACACCGACAGAAUUGAAAGGGCAGCUUUAAAUGAGGAGCAGCAUGAGCCAAACUGGCCAAGAUUUGACGUUUCUGUUGUCCGAACUUGUGGUAUGCAAAUUCAUAAUCUUCUUGUUUAAAAAUAACGUCAUAGUUGCUUCUCUUUAUGCUUGGAAUAACCUAUUGUGUCUAUGUUCUG